GGGUUGCUAACUCAACGGUAGAGUACUCGGCUCUUAA
This 37-nucleotide transfer RNA is filed under the name Polystachya cf. nyanzensis AR-2009. RNAcentral describes it as "partial tRNA-Lys". The record is from RNAcentral. Lineage: Eukaryota; Viridiplantae; Streptophyta; Magnoliopsida; Asparagales; Orchidaceae.